UCUCAGUCGGUUGGGUCCUGGGAGGAGGGGAUGGACAGAGCAUUGAACCCACAGUGCCCCUUUCUUCCUUCCCACCCCUCCCCACAGCCUAAGACCCUCCGGUACCUUAACCUCCCCCUUUCCUCCAAAGGAAAAAAAUGGGAAUAGUAUAUUCAUGCCCAUUGACAUCAUGGAUUUUCCUGCUGGUCCUGAUUUAAAAUAUCUUGAAAGUUUACUUUCAAAGGAUAGCUUUGUGUUAAAGGAGAAAAUAAAAACCUGGAGCCUCCUACCCUAUAGCGUUUCCUGGGACCACAAAAAACAACCUGGGCUAUCUGCCUCUGGCACCUUGGAUUCCAGACCAAUAUGAUGGCACCCAGGCCACCAGCUCCUGGGAUCUCUGCUGAUUUAGCAAUGACUCCCCCAGGUUUUACACCUGCAGCACCCUGCACCAUCCCCGCCCCCCUGCAGAGUCACACCCAGAUGCUGCUUGGCUGCUGCUUUGGAGGAAUCAGUGUUCCAGAACAGUGCUUCUCAUACCUUAGUGUGUAUCAGAAUCACAGAGGGGGCUUGUCAAGACUGGUUUACUAGGUCUGGGGUGCAGUCAAAAAAAUUUGCAUUUUUACCAAGUUCCCCUGUGAGGCAGAUGCUACUGGAUCAGAGACAAAACUUCUAGAGCUGCUGUUUCAGGGCACCGAGCUGGUAGGGGGAAAGGAGAAGCAGUAAGAAGUCUGUGGCUGUUACUUGGCUGUUUUGUUUCCCCUCCUUGGCAGUGCGGGGGUGAGGGCGAGGGCAAGGAGGAAUGUGUGCCAGACUGCAGAGGCCCCAAGGGGGCCUGACCUCUUGGGAUGCUGUAAAUCUUUAUCUUUUCUUUCUAGACUAGUGGUUCUGAAACUUGGCAGCACAUUGGAUUCCCUUUGGGAGCUUUAAAAAAAUUCCUGAUGACUGGCCUCCAGUCCCAGCGAUCUUGCUUAAAUCGGUUUGGAGGUUGCUUUGGGCAUUGGACCAUAUGAAAGCUCCCUAGCUUGGGAACCACUUUCAGGAGGCCUCGCAGAGCAGAGGGAAGCUGGGCCUCGUUUCACACCCUCCAUGGCAUUUACCAUCCAGCGGACUGGCCUUGAGAAAAGUCUGCCUUGCAGUCAGUGAAGGCCUGUGGAACUUGAGAGGAAUUCCUUCCAGCUCUCCAACUGACCUCCAACUUUAGGAGCACAUGGCCUUCAGAGCACUUGGUGGCGAAAGAAGGCAGCAUUGAUCUGGUGUCUCUGGAAGAUCUUCCAAGUGGCCUAGUAAGACUGGAACAGCUCAGAAGAAAUCAUCUGCUCACUCAUACAUUCCACAAAGCACGUCUUGAGUACCUACUAGAUGGAGAUAUAUUGAUUUAUAUCUAUGUAUCUAUCUAUUAUCUAUCUAUCAUCUCUCUAUAUCUAUCUAUCUAGUUCUAGAUACAUAGCUCACAAUAUGGCUAUUCCAUAAGUAAAACUUGGCAAUACAGUGAAACAAGUACAGUAUCAGGGUGGGCUCAAAGAGCUGUGGAGUGAAAGAUAGCCUGUCUUGAGUAGGACAAGAGAGACGGGCAUUCCAGGAAAACAGAAUGAAGGGAGUAAGCACAAAGAAACAUUGAAGGACCGCUAUCACCUAGGCCUGGGAAGUUUCAGUGUGGCCAGCACACAGGAUGAGUUUAUGGAAGGAGAAAAGUAUUUGGAGAUGCAAAGAUAGAUUGGAGCAGCUCAUGAACCUACCCCACUGACUUGUCAACCUGGCCUAGAAGUGGGAAUGAAGGCAGUGAAGAAGAGGAAGGCUGAGGGCAGAUGGAGUGGAUUGAGGGCCCCAGGGGGAUGAAAUGAGAGGAAAUGAAUAUCAAGAAGUUUAUAAAUGCAUUGACUACAUUCUGUGGGCCAGGCAAUGAGCUAGGUACUCCAUCCACAUUUAACACCCAUAGUCACCAGAGAGGUGAGUCCUGUAAUUAUCUUUUAUUUUACAGAUGAGACUUGGGAUAUGGAGGUAAAAUAAAUUGCUCAGUCACAGAUAGUGAGAGAGCUGAGAUUCAAACCCUGGCUGUCUUAUCCAAAGGAGAAAUAACUUAAGGCCAGAAACGUAAGAAAAGGAGAAGGAAGUAAAGUAAAUACUUGUCUCAAGUUAUUUGUCUAUUUCAUUAUAAGUACUCAUUUUUAGAAAUGUUUUAUUUGUCCUAGGAGGCCUUUCUUUCCAAAAUCUUUGGUAAAAUUUUCUUCUUUGCUUGUGCCUUUUCUUAUUUCCUUCUCUCUGCAACCAGCUCAUUGUGAAAAUCUUUUCAGAAUGCAGUUGUAUGGAAAGCUAAUGCAAAAUAAAAAUUAGUCUGUAAAAUAUAUUAACAAGGUAAGCAGCAUCUCUUUGUGGGUCUCUCUGCACGGGUGAUUUGUUUCUCAGUGCUGGGGUCUGGAGAGGAGAGUCACAGUGUCUGUUUUGUUUUUUCAUAUUUCCUGAGCAGGACACCGGGACUUUUGGAACUCAUGCAUAUCCACCCAUAGUUCAGUAUAAACUGACAUGCAAAAUAAUUUGAAUAGGACAGAAAAAAAAAAAAAAAGGAAAGAACACCAAUGAAAUGCCUAGUCACCACCAUGAGUCUGACUUGUGCUUCUACGUGAUUUAUCAAUAUAGUCAGACUGCUUAGUGUAUGAAUCCAUCUUUGUCCAUGAGCAGGGGGAGAAGAGAAGCCUGUGGUCGUAUCUGCAUGGCCAAUAAUGGUGUCCUUUCAUAGAUAAUAGAAUGUAUAUCAGGAUGCAAGGCUGCCUCUAGUGAGAAUCCAACUUUAAACAGACCAAGCUGGGAGGCUCCUUAUCAAUGAUGUCAUGAGUAGUUUCAGUUUGCCUCUGGGAGGAGUUUUUACAAGAAGGUCUAGCUCCAAGGGUGGUGGACGGAUUCUCUGAACUAGAGGGGCUCUCUCCCCUGUUCUCAUAGCACUGUUCCCUCUCCCAACCAUCCCACAGGACCCGAGUGGGAAGGUAGAGAGUGUGAAUAUCACAGUCUCCCCACCACGCUACUGCAGGGACAUUGCAUAUGCAUAUGCAGAUGAGCCAACCAGAACUGUUCUUGAACUUUAGAAGACUCUGGAUUCAGUGAAAUGUAAUUGGAUGCUCAUUCCUGGGUACCCGUGGGCAAACUGCCUAAGUUCUUUGAGUAACUUGAGAUAGCAAAGAAAGAAGAAAUACAUCUCAGUGAAGACCACAUUUCUACAACACCCCAAAUUUACUUUCAGGGUUUGGCUCUAUUUCUUUCUGUGAGACACAAGAGUUUAGAGCCGGGAAAAUAAAUCUGACUGCUCAUCUGACACAUCCGAUCUGGUUGUUGAAAGGACUGAGAUACCAGCCAAUUGUUCAUGACCUGUCUCAUCGGGAGCUCAGCAGCUGGCUGCUAAUGGUCAGACACGCAGACCUGGCCAGAGUCCACAAUGGAAGGUUGGAGUAUUGUGCUUGAGGAUGGCUCAGGAUGGAGUCCUUUGGAAGGACACCAGCCAGAUGUCCAGGCCCAUUUGGCUGGUCAGGCGGCAGCUGCUUUGUUGCUCUGUGGGAUGAAGCAGCAUUCUCGACCCGUGGAGCUCAGUGGUCAAGCCACAGAGUCAUUCAGAGGCAGGGUGAGGGCAGAGUCCCACACAGAAUGGCAGCACCUGCGGUGUCCGGGGAGCCAAAUACUUGAGCAGUUCCAGAAAAAGUUUAAAAAAAUCUCUCCUCCUCCCAGCCUGCUCUUUGUUAAUUGGAAUUACACAAACUUCAACAUCUGUUACAUGCAUCCAUGCCCAAGAAGAGAUGGAAAGAAGGAGGUGGCGCGGAAAGAUGCCUGGCACUUCCUUUUCCUGGUGGCCCCUCACCUUCUGCAACAUCACUUCCCACCGAGGCCGGAACCACCGAAGACACUCCUUCAGGCAACAGAGGAGCACUUUGGAACAUGCAAAGAUUUGUCCACGGAGCCUCACGGACGGAUGAAAACACGACCUGUCCUGGGUCUGAUUAGCAGAAACACACAAGGAUAAUAAAAGCUAGCUUGCACUUAGUAUGAUUUUUCAAGGCACUACUGGACAGUGUUCCCCCAGUCCUUUGCACUCAACAACAUCCCCAUUUAUAAUCAGAGACUGAUUUGGUGGUUGAAGGACUUACAGGAAGAAGAUCACAGGCUUAGUAAUGGUGAAGCCAGAACUGCCAGGAUUCUGCCGUCAGAUCCCUGUUCUGUUUCCGUGCGUCCACCAGUUUCUGGACACUUGAGGCAGUCGCUGGGGUGGCAGCUGUAAGCAAGACAUCCAGUGGCAGAAAUCUAAGGGGAUCCAGAACCAAGAGCUGGUGAGGGGCCCUGCAAGGCCUCCAGCAUUGAGGCCUCCAGGCCCUUGGUGCUCACCUCAUAGUUGCUCCCAAGAACAGAGCUUUGUCUCUCUUGUUUAUCUAUGGAUCCCUAGUGCCUUGAACAGAAGUACUCAACAAACACUUGCUGAAUUAACUUGGUGCACUAUUAUCCCUCCCAGAGGGUUAAAGGGAAAGGGACUUUGUUGUGGUCCAUGUUGGAUUCUCCUAUGAACUAUGAAGGAGAAUAUUAUAGUGAAUGCUUCGAUGGCUCUGAAGAGAUAAAUAAAGCUUCCAUCCUGGUUCUCUGCAUUAAAAGCCUUGGGACCUUGGGCUAGUUACUUAAACCCCUUGAAGGCUUCAUUGCAUUCUGUGUAAAAUGGGGAACACAGGAGUGUUAUGAGGAUUAGAGGAGAUAAUGCGUGAUGGAUGCUCAGCCUUUAAACAUUUAGCCCUUUUGGUUUUCUUUCUUUCUUUUUUUUUUUUAAGAUUUAAGAAAAAUAAGAUUUUAUUUAUUUAUGAGAGAGAGAGAGGCAGAGGGAGAAGCAGGCUCCAUGCAAGGAGCCGGACGUGGGACUCAAUCCGGGGACUCCAGGAUCACGCCCUGGGCUGAAGGCAGGCGCUAAACCGCUGAGCCACCCAGGGAUUCCCCCACUUUUGGUUUUCAUCACGAACUUGAAUCAUGGAUUGUAAGCAUGGAGGAUGAUGAAGCCACUACCUCUAUGCUCUAUUAUCCUUACAUAUCUGAGGAGUCAGGGCAUUCUUGGGAUUUAUCUCUCAGGGGGUGUCAAGGUUCUACUGCAUAGAACAUGCUCUCAAAAAUAGUCCCUCCUCCCCGUGGUCACCUCUCACAGCAUGAAUAUAUUUAUUGGUGGAUGUAUGAAUUCCAUACCUACUCUCCCAUCAAAAUAAUUAAUGUUUCAUGGCUUCCUUUUAAGUAUAUUGUACUAUUGACAAGUCAGAGAAAAAUAA
Canis lupus familiaris (dog) is the source of this 5255-nucleotide long non-coding RNA. RefSeq lists it as uncharacterized. The record is from RefSeq and is a predicted model, not a curated record. The transcript has 5 exons. Lineage: Eukaryota; Metazoa; Chordata; Mammalia; Carnivora; Canidae.